This 364-nucleotide ribosomal RNA is filed under the name uncultured Lachnospiraceae bacterium. RNAcentral's name for it is "partial 16S ribosomal RNA". Lineage: Bacteria; Bacillati; Bacillota; Clostridia; Lachnospirales; Lachnospiraceae. The record is from RNAcentral.
GGAGUUUGGACCGUGUCUCAGUUCCAAUGUGGCCGUUCACCCUCUCAGGCCGGCUACUGAUCGUCGCCUUGGUGGGCCGUUACCUCACCAACUAGCUAAUCAGACGCGGGUCCAUCUUACACCACCGGAGUUUUUCACACCGUACCAUGCGGUACUGUGCGCUUAUGCGGUAUUAGCAGUCAUUUCUAACUGUUAUCCCCCUGUGUAAGGUAGGUUACCCACGCGUUACUCACCCGUCCGCCACUAAACAUUUCAGUUGAUUCAAUCCGUAGCAAGCUACUUCAAUCAUCGGGUGAAAUGUUCCGUUCGACUUGCAUGUGUUAAGCACGCCGCCAGCGUUUAUCCAGAGCCAUGAUCAAACUCU